This 253-nucleotide ribosomal RNA is filed under the name uncultured bacterium. RNAcentral's name for it is "partial 16S ribosomal RNA". It matches the Rfam family "Bacterial small subunit ribosomal RNA", at positions 524 to 776 of the family's 1533-position model. The record is from RNAcentral.
GACAGAGGUGCCAAGCGUUAGGCGGAAUCACUGGGCUUAAAGCGUGUGUAGGCGGAAUGGUAAGUACCUUGUGAAAUCCCACGGCUCAACCGUGGAACUGCUUGGUAUACUGCUUUUCUUGAGCCACUUAGGGGCAACCGGAACAAACGGUGGAGCGGUGAAAUGCGUAGAUAUCGCUUGGAACGCCGAAGGUGAAAACAGGCUGCUGGGGUUGCGCCGACGCUGAGACACGAAAGCCAGGGGAGCAAACGGG